CCAGACUCCUACGUUAUUCAGCAUUUUUGAAUAUUUCACAAUUUUUUAAACCCUGAUUCAUCUACUCCUCGUGAUUUAAUAAUUAUUUCGUUAUGUAAAGCUCUAUCAGCAUGUAAGAAAUAGCUACCUUUUUUUCGCCAGACGGUACCUAAUUAAGAAGCCCCGGCUAACUACGUGCCAGCAGCCGCGUUAAUACGUAGGGGGCAAGCGUUAUCCGGUUUUACUGGGUGUAAAGGGAGCGUAGACGGCAGCGCAAGUCUGAAGUGAAAUGCCGGGGCUUAACCCCGGAACUGCUUUGGAAACUGUGCAGCUAGAGUGCAGGAGAGGUAAGUGGAAUUCCUAGUGUAGCGGUGAAAUGCGUAGAUAUUAGGAGGAACACCAGUGGAGAAGGCGGCUUACUGGACUGUAACUGACGUUGAGGCUCGAAAGCGUGGGGAGCAAAAAGGAUUAGAUACCCCGGUA
This 462-nucleotide ribosomal RNA is filed under the name uncultured bacterium. RNAcentral's name for it is "bacterial SSU rRNA". It matches the Rfam family "Bacterial small subunit ribosomal RNA", at positions 331 to 792 of the family's 1533-position model. The record is from RNAcentral.